CUUGACACAGUUUUCAUAUAGAUUGGCCUCCAGGGCAGACAGCAGGAGUGGGGUUUAAUCUGGACUGAAUUGGAGGAAAGGAACUGGCACCAGAGUGGAGGCUGGAAGGAUGGUGGAACUGACACUGGGACAGAACACAGAAAACAGAAUCUAAUGCUAUUGCUCUGGCUAUAUCAAAUAAAAGUGUCAAGAGUGAGCAUCCUUGCCUUGUGCUGAAUCACAAAGGAAUACCUUUCAGUUUUUCUCCAUUGAUUAUGAUAGCAGUGGGCUUUUCACAGUGGGCUUUACUGUGUUGAGGUAAGUUCCUUCUGUACCUAUUUUGUUGAGUUUUCAUUACGAAUGAUGUUGAUUUGGUCAAAUGCUUUUUCUGCAUCUGUUGAAAUGGUCAUGUGGUUUUUAUCUUUCAUUCUGUUAAUAUGAUGUAACACCUUGAUUGAUUUGCAUAUAUUAAAC
RNAcentral lists this long non-coding RNA (453 nucleotides) under Homo sapiens (human). RNAcentral's name for it is "non-protein coding DLEU1:38". The record is from RNAcentral. Lineage: Eukaryota; Metazoa; Chordata; Mammalia; Primates; Hominidae.